CAUACAGAUAACGAACAAUCCGA
RNAcentral lists this small nuclear RNA (23 nucleotides) under Arabidopsis thaliana (thale cress). RNAcentral's name for it is "snRNA_05957". Lineage: Eukaryota; Viridiplantae; Streptophyta; Magnoliopsida; Brassicales; Brassicaceae. The record is from RNAcentral.